This 74-nucleotide transfer RNA is filed under the name Pseudovibrio denitrificans. Its description in RNAcentral is "tRNA_Arg_CCG". It matches the Rfam family "tRNA". Rfam says of the family: Transfer RNA (tRNA) molecules are approximately 80 nucleotides in length. Their secondary structure includes four short double-helical elements and three loops (D, anti-codon, and T loops). The record is from RNAcentral. Lineage: Bacteria; Pseudomonadati; Pseudomonadota; Alphaproteobacteria; Hyphomicrobiales; Stappiaceae.
GCACCCGUAGCUCAGUUGGAUAGAGCGCUGCCCUCCGAAGGCAGAGGCCAGAGGUUCGAAUCCUCUCGGGUGCG